Haplochromis burtoni (Burton's mouthbrooder) is the source of this 58-nucleotide microRNA precursor. NCBI's taxonomy places the organism in Eukaryota, Metazoa, Chordata, Actinopteri, Cichliformes, Cichlidae. The record is from Ensembl.
CUUCAAAGUCAACGUUGCAUCCUUGGAAACAAGUUGGCUGCAACGUUGACUUUGAACC